RNAcentral lists this ribosomal RNA (490 nucleotides) under uncultured bacterium. Its description in RNAcentral is "partial 16S ribosomal RNA". It matches the Rfam family "Bacterial small subunit ribosomal RNA", at positions 30 to 507 of the family's 1533-position model. The record is from RNAcentral.
AUUGAACGCUGGCGGCAGGCCUAACACAUGCAAGUCGAACGGUAACAGGAAGAAGCUUGCUUCUUUGCUGACGAGUGGCGGACGGGUGAGUAAUGUCUGGGAAACUGCCUGAUGGAGGGGGAUAACUACUGGAAACGGUAGCUAAUACCGCAUAACGUCGCAAGACCAAAGAGGGGGACCUUCGGGCCUCUUGCCAUCGGAUGUGCCCAGAUGGGAUUAGCUAGUAGGUGGGGUAACGGCUCACCUAGGCGACGAUCCCUAGCUGGUCUGAGAGGAUGACCAGCCACACUGGAACUGAGACACGGUCCAGACUCCUACGGGAGGCAGCAGUGGGGAAUAUUGCACAAUGGGCGCAAGCCUGAUGCAGCCAUGCCGCGUGUAUGAAGAAGGCCUUCGGGUUGUAAAGUACUUUCAGCGGGGAGGAAGGGAGUAAAGUUAAUACCUUGGCUCAUUGACGUUACCCGCAGAAGAGGCACCGGCUAACUCCGUG